Long non-coding RNA from Arabidopsis thaliana (thale cress), 2523 nucleotides. RefSeq annotates it as other RNA. The transcript has a single exon. The record is from RefSeq. NCBI's taxonomy places the organism in Eukaryota, Viridiplantae, Streptophyta, Magnoliopsida, Brassicales, Brassicaceae.
UUCCGUUUGUUCUUGCUACCAAUCAAGAGAGUGAAAUAAAACAAAACCCUAAAGAAAAAACCCCAAGCAACAGUAAUCCACAAACAAUUCCAUUUACUAAUAUCCGUAAUCCCUUGCUGUUUCAAAAUAUCAAUCCCCGUCGUCACACAAGUCUCCGCCGUCACAUUCGUCCCCAAUACACCGCUCAUACUCUUCAACAGAUUCACUUUCACAUCGUUCGGAAACUCCCCCAACGGCGAAUUGUCGAAUAACUGAACUCCUCUGGCGAAACAUCUCGUCGGAUUUUGAAAUUCGUUCUGCAACACUCCUUCGUAAGGGUAUUUCACCAAGGAGAUGUAAUGGAACCAGAGCCAGUAAACAGGAAUUCGAUCUCGAGAGAUGAAGAAUCCGGAGAAGAGGAGGAAGUAAGCGAGGAUCGCUACUACGACUGUGAAUCCGAGCAUUACGUUUGGUAUAACGCCGGAGAGGAACGUUACGAAGGAGCUUCCUGCCCAAAAUGAGGCUAGGAUUGUGAAGUAGAAGAAGAAGAAACCAUUGGCGCCUCCGUCGAGACCAACGGCCCAGAAUGUUGUGGCGGCGAAGCUUGCGGAGAGGACGAUUAAGGCCGGGAUUGAGAUUAUGGAUUGAGAGAGGACGUAGGAGGAUCUCCGGUAAGCGUUGUAAGCUGUUUCUCUCAUGAAUAUGUAACGUUCUUGUAGAAAGACUGGGAUUGCUUCUGCACAUGUGUAGAAUGUUGUUGACAUUGCGAAUGCGAAGAAUCCUAAACGUUCUUGUGCUCCUUUUGGGGAAUUGUCUAGGUUAGUGAACAUUGUAGCUAGGAUGAUUCCGGUGACCAUUACAGCUCCUAGUCUCAUUCCGAGGAGUUCUGGUUGUCUUCUUGAGUUUAAUAUAGCACGUUUGCCUAUUACUAUCAUUUCAAUCCAGAAAGGAUUGGCGAAUGUUUGGAAUGAUGGUGUUAGGUUUGAUGAGUUGUUGUUCGUUGCUCCAGAGACGAGUUUCCCUCUUGAGAUACUCGCGGUUAUCGCUUCUUUGAGAGAAGAUACGUUGGUGUUUCUCUUGUUAUUGUUGUUGUAGCUUGGUGCUUGCUUUGCUCGCCAUUGCUUGUGGAACUCGACAAGUGGCUUGGUUCCUUCUGUAGAAUAUUCCAGCUCUCGGAUGAGAUCGAGAGCGAACUCUGUUUUGUUCUCGUUUUCAGGAAUUGGGUGCUUGAAUUCUGAGAAGAACUGAGGGAGAUGUGUUGGUGAGCCGCUGUAGACUGUGUUUCCCUUAGAAAGGAAGAUUAACUGAUCUAGAAGACCCAUGAUUCUGUAACUAGGCUGAUGGAUUGACAUGAUAACUAUGCUGCCACUUUGUGCGAUUCUCUGAAGGACUUUGAUAACCAUGUAGGCGCUUGUAGAGUCGAGCCCUGAGGUUGGCUCAUCUAGAAAGAGGAUGAUUGGGUCAUGGAUUAUGUCGUUUCCAAUUGAUACCCGUCUCCUUUCUCCUCCAGACACUCCUCUGUGGCCUUCAUCACCAAUCACGGUUUUUGCAGCGCUCCUUAGGCCUAAUUGGUCAAUCAGAGCUUGAACCCUUGCUUUCUUCUUCUUCUUGGAGAGUGAACGAGGGAGCCUGAACUCUGCAGAGAACAUUAGAGUUUCCUCCACGGUAAGCAUCGGGAAGAGAAGGUCGUCUUGCAUCACGUAAGCCGAUAUGACUUUCUGCAUGCUUGAUUCAAGAACUUCUCCGUUUAAGGUAAUGGAUCCCCUGAGGCUAUCUUUUGCGAUCCGGUUGGCUAAUGCAUCGAUCAGUGUUGAUUUACCGGACCCACUUGCUCCAAGAACCGCCAUCAUCUCCCCUUCGCGGGCUUCACCUGAAAUACCAUUCAAUAGUAUCUUAGUGUUCACCGAGGAAUCAUUUCCUGACCUUCUGCAGCAAGCGAGGGGAUUAAACUUCUUCUGGAUCUUCACGCUGUAGGUCAAGUCAGUGAAUGAAAGAACAAACGGGGAAGAAGAUAUAGAAGAAGCAGGAGCAGAGGCCCAUGAAUUGAAAGAGGAUGCAGCAGAAUUGAUAGGUGAGGCAAUUCCCAGAGCCCGGCUACUUGCACUUUCAUCAUUCCUUGCAUCCUCCACGUUCAUAAGAUGCUCGGCGAAUGUGACAGAGACUCUAGUCGUGUCGCUUGGACGUCCUUGAGGCUCCACGGACAUCGGGUUUACAUAAUACAUAGGAAGAUCAUUGUUGCCAUCAACCCGUUUGGCCGGAGAUGAUUUUCCGAGCAAGCCAGACAUUUUCUAUGUAUUUUUGUCUUAAUCUUCUCAGGUUAUGUGGGUUAUAUAGCUCAUACCCACAAAGAAGACACGAAUAGGAUAUAGGAGGAAUGAGAGAAGAGACUACUAUAAAGUAAAGAGAUAUUUUUUUAUUAUAAGAAUGAAAGAGAUACGAAAUGGUCAAUAUAGUAGGUAAUCUCUAAGUAUCUAACGAUAGCUUCUGGGUUUUGUAUGUUUUGAUGUAAUGUACAAACCUAAAAGUAAAUGGGUAGGUGAGAGG